AUUGCAUAGAACAAUUUCUUUUUAGAUUUAUUAUAAUGUUACAAAGCAGUAUAACUUUCAAAUUUCUUCCAAUUAUGAAAAUUAUUAUUAAGAGAUCUCUUAAUAAUAACUUUAGACAUGCAACCUUUAGUCAUCUAACAAGGCGUAAACUCAGCUGUAUGACGUACAGGAACAUGUCUAUUAAUAGAAUUGCUAAUAUAUAUGAAGAGAUUAUCAUAAAACUGAUCAAGAUUAAUGUGAGAACAAUACAAUAAUUCCCAAGGAUAUGAUAACAUGUCAAAGGCUAAUAAAACCCAAUUAGCUUGUUUCGAG
This 312-nucleotide long non-coding RNA is filed under the name Androctonus crassicauda. Lineage: Eukaryota; Metazoa; Arthropoda; Arachnida; Scorpiones; Buthidae. The record is from RNAcentral.